RNAcentral lists this unclassified non-coding RNA (90 nucleotides) under Pseudomonas mediterranea. The record is from RNAcentral. Lineage: Bacteria; Pseudomonadati; Pseudomonadota; Gammaproteobacteria; Pseudomonadales; Pseudomonadaceae.
UGUGGGAGCGAGCCUGCUCGCGAUGACGGAGUGUCAGUCACUGUCAAUGUUGACUGAUGCUCCGCUAUCGCGAGCAGGCUCGCUCCCACA